This 379-nucleotide RNase P RNA is filed under the name bacterium. RNAcentral's name for it is "RNase P RNA component class A". It matches the Rfam family "Bacterial RNase P class A". Rfam says of the family: Ribonuclease P (RNase P) is a ubiquitous endoribonuclease, found in archaea, bacteria and eukarya as well as chloroplasts and mitochondria. Its best characterised activity is the generation of mature 5'-ends of tRNAs by cleaving the 5'-leader elements of precursor-tRNAs. The record is from RNAcentral.
CAAGCGGGCCGGAUGGUCGCGCCCUUUUUAUAAGGGUGAGGAAAGUCCGGGCUCCACAGGGCAGGAUGCUGGGUAACGCCCAGGCGGGGUGACCCGACGGAAAGUGCCACAGAGAACAGACCGCCAGCGGACAAAACACACGUUUUGUUGCGGGCAAGGGUGAAACGGUGGGGUAAGAGCCCACCGCGCCUCCCGGCAACGGGGGCGGCACGGCAAACCCCAUCCGGAGCAAGGCCGAAUAGGAGCGGAGAGGUGACCCGCCUCGCUUAAACGCUCGGGUAGGCCGCACGAGGUAUCGGGUAACCGAUGUCCCAGAUAAAUGACCAUCCGUCUGGCAAAUACCAGGCGACAGAACCCGGCUUACAGGCCCGCUUGCCUG